CGGUUCCGCCGGACGGUCGCGUCGCAGGGUCUCCCUGCGCCGAGGAAAGUCCGGGCUCCUUGGACACGCUGCCAGGUAACGCCUGGGCACGCCGCGAGGCGUGACGGACAGUGCCACAGAGAACAGACCGCCUUCGCGAAAGCGGAGGUAAGGGUGAAAAGGUGGGGUAAGAGCCCACCGCGUCCGUGGCAACACGGGCGGCACGGCAAACCCCUGCGGGAGCAAGGCCGAAUAGGCGGCGAGCAGCAGUCCUCUGCGAUCAAGACGCCGCGGGUUGGCCGCUAGAGUGCACGGGCGACCGUGUGCCGAGAGGAAUGAUCGUCCGGGGUCGCGAGAUCCCGACAGAACCCGGCUUACAGGCGGGACCGACGA
This 372-nucleotide RNase P RNA is filed under the name Gemmatimonadota bacterium. RNAcentral describes it as "RNase P RNA component class A". It matches the Rfam family "Bacterial RNase P class A". Rfam says of the family: Ribonuclease P (RNase P) is a ubiquitous endoribonuclease, found in archaea, bacteria and eukarya as well as chloroplasts and mitochondria. Its best characterised activity is the generation of mature 5'-ends of tRNAs by cleaving the 5'-leader elements of precursor-tRNAs. Lineage: Bacteria; Pseudomonadati; Gemmatimonadota. The record is from RNAcentral.